This 499-nucleotide ribosomal RNA is filed under the name uncultured bacterium. RNAcentral's name for it is "partial 16S ribosomal RNA". It matches the Rfam family "Bacterial small subunit ribosomal RNA", at positions 28 to 507 of the family's 1533-position model. The record is from RNAcentral.
GACGAACGCUGGCGGCGUGCCUAAUACAUGCAAGUCGAGCGAAGUUUUUCUGGUGCUUGCACUAGGAAAACUUAGCGGCGAACGGGUGAGUAACACGUAAAGAACCUGCCUCAUAGACUGGGACAACUAUUGGAAACGAUAGCUAAUACCGGAUAACAGCAUUAACUGCAUGGUUGAUGUUUAAAAGUUGGUUUUGCUAACACUAUGAGAUGGCUUUGCGGUGCAUUAGCUAGUUGGUGGGGUAAAGGCCUACCAAGGCGACGAUGCAUAGCCGACCUGAGAGGGUGAUCGGCCACACUGGGACUGAGACACGGCCCAGACUCCUACGGGAGGCAGCAGUAGGGAAUCUUCCGCAAUGGGCGAAAGCCUGACGGAGCAACGCCGCAUGAGUGAAGAAGGAUUUCGGUUCGUAAAACUCUGUUGUUAGGGAAGAAUGAUUGUGUAGUAACUAUGCACAGUAGAGACGGUACCUAACCAGAAAGCCACGGCUAACUACGUG